Long non-coding RNA from Leopardus geoffroyi (Geoffroy's cat), 1116 nucleotides. RefSeq lists it as uncharacterized. Lineage: Eukaryota; Metazoa; Chordata; Mammalia; Carnivora; Felidae. The transcript has 4 exons. The record is from RefSeq and is a predicted model, not a curated record.
CGGAGAGGUGUGUGAAAAGCGGGGGAGCCCCGCCCUUCUGCCCCCCAAACGGCAGGAUUUGUGAACCCCGGGCUGGGCCCCCCGGUUUAAUCUUGCCCCCCGGUUAUCAGCAUCCUUCAGGCUGCCACGCGAAGCGACGGUUGGUGGCCUGCCUGUUUUGCUGAGGAAAAGCUUAGGCGCUGCGGGGUGGGGCUUUGAGGCGUAAACACGAUCUCAGCUCAUUUUAUGUUGGUUUGGAUUCCUAACGAAUUUCCAGUGAAAGAGAAAUGGAGAGACAAGACACUUUCAGAUCAUGUCAAAUCUUGUACAUUAAAAUAAGGUAACCAGAAAUUCAAUAAGGAUAUAUAACAUGCUCAGGAGUGCUAUGAACAAACACCACAGUCAUGUGGACCUUCGUUUUUGUUUGCCUUUCUAUGUGUUGGAACUGCACUUCAACGUUCUAGAUAAAACCAGAGCCAUGAACUUGAACUGCGGUUUGCUUUUAAAGAUGUGUGUAUCAGUUAGGAAUGCUUUGGCUGGCAGUGAAAGGCAACUGACUAACAGCGGUUUCACAGAGACUAUUCUUCAUACAUUAAGAAAAGAUCUGGACACGGGCAACUGCCGGUGUUGGCUCAACGCCUCAGUUUCUGGGCUGGCAUCUUCCAGACGCUUCUGACCUUUUCCUUCCAGUCACCAGUGAUUAAAACAGCUCCAGAAGAAAGAAUCUGCCUUGGAUUUUGUCAUCGUUGUUGCUGAGUAUCUGAGCUCAUUCUGGUUUCCAAGAAGUGAAACCAUGUAACAUUUGAAACGCUUCACCUGUGACCAGAUUUAGAGACAAUGGCCACAAUAUACAUCUCCCAGCUUUGUUGUUUUUUGCGGUCUUGGGUUUCAGUCCUAGUUGCUGUAGAUUAAACUUGAUCAAAGUUUACAUGUACUAUGAGCCAAAGUUCAAUGACUUCUACUUCUGUGGCUGUCUGGAGGGUAUCACUUUGCUACAAAACACAAGAUGAUUAGUUCUGAAAUGUAAUGUCUUCUUGAAGCCCAGUUAGCAGGCUGCCUGAGAUCAUUUGUAGACUACCUCUCCAAGCUGACUGUCAGCAUGUUAAUUUUGCUCAAAUAAAGAGCACGUUUGCUCUC